RNAcentral lists this small RNA (134 nucleotides) under Escherichia coli. RNAcentral describes it as "RtT sRNA". It matches the Rfam family "RtT RNA". From Rfam's summary of the family: This family represents a bacterial cis-regulatory element known as RtT RNA. The exact function of RtT is unknown although it is thought that it may be involved in changing the cellular response in relation to amino acid starvation. Lineage: Bacteria; Pseudomonadati; Pseudomonadota; Gammaproteobacteria; Enterobacterales; Enterobacteriaceae. The record is from RNAcentral. RNAcentral also lists the same sequence under 302 other names.
UGCAUUUGAAGCCCAUGAGGAUGAGAACCUCCGGGGGCGGGGAGGUUCGACUCGAGCGAAGCGAGAGAACGUUGCGCCAGCAACGGCCCGCAGGGCGAGCCACGAAGUGGCGAGUAAUCCUCUAUCACCGACCA